This 256-nucleotide ribosomal RNA is filed under the name uncultured bacterium. Its description in RNAcentral is "partial 16S ribosomal RNA". It matches the Rfam family "Bacterial small subunit ribosomal RNA", at positions 524 to 776 of the family's 1533-position model. The record is from RNAcentral.
UACGUAGGGUGCGAGCGUUGUCCGGAAUUACUGGGCGUAAAGAGCUCGUAGGUGGUUUGUCGCGUUGUUCGUGAAAACUCACAGCUUAACUGGUGGGCGUGCGGGCGAUACGGGCAGACUGGAGUACUGCAGGGGAGACUGGAAUUCCUGGUGUAGCGGUGGAAUGCGCAGAUAGUCAGGAGGAACACCGGUGGCGAAGGCGGGUCUCUGGGCAGUAACUGACGCUGGAGGAGCGAAAGCGUGGGGAGCGAACAGG